RNAcentral lists this ribosomal RNA (429 nucleotides) under Gemmatimonadota bacterium. Its description in RNAcentral is "Gemmatimonadetes bacterium partial 16S ribosomal RNA". It matches the Rfam family "Bacterial small subunit ribosomal RNA", at positions 355 to 776 of the family's 1533-position model. Lineage: Bacteria; Pseudomonadati; Gemmatimonadota. The record is from RNAcentral.
UAGGGAAUCUUCGGCAAUGGACGACAGUCUGACCGAGCAACGCCGCGUGAGUGAAGAAGGUUUUCGGAUCGUAAAACUCUGUUGUUAGAGAAGAACAAGGACGUUAGUAACUGAACGUCCCCUGACGGUAUCUAACCAGAAAGCCACGGCUAACUACGUGCCAGCACCCGCGGUAAUACGUAGGUGGCAAGCGUUGUCCGGAUUUAUUGGGCGUAAAGCGAGCGCAGGCGGUUUAUUAAGUAUGAUGUGAAAGCCCCCGGCUCAACCGGGGAGGGAUAUUGGAAACUGGGGGACUUGAGUGCAAAAGAGGAGAGUGGAAUUCCAUGUGGAGCGGUGAAAUGCGUAGAUAUAUGGGGGAACACCAGUGGCAAGGGGGGCUCUCUGGUCUGUAACUGACGCUGGGGCUCGAAAGCGUGGGGAGAAAACAGG